GUGCCAGCAGCCGCGGUAAUACGGAGGGUGCGAGCGUUACCCGGAUUUACUGGGCGUAAAGGGCGUGUAGGCGGUCCCUCAAGUCCGAUGCUAAAGACCGGGGCUCAACCCCGGGGGUGCGUUGGAUACUGUCGGGCUAGACGGUCGGAGGGGGCAGCGGAAUUUCCGGAGUAGCGGUGAAAUGCGCAGAUACCGGAAGGAACGCCGAUAGCGAAGGCAGCUGCCUGGACGACUUGUGACGCUGAGGCGCGAAAGCGUGGGGAGCAAACCGGAUUAGAUACCCGGGUAGUCC
This 292-nucleotide ribosomal RNA is filed under the name uncultured prokaryote. RNAcentral describes it as "partial 16S ribosomal RNA". It matches the Rfam family "Bacterial small subunit ribosomal RNA", at positions 505 to 796 of the family's 1533-position model. The record is from RNAcentral.